This 465-nucleotide ribosomal RNA is filed under the name Vreelandella stevensii. RNAcentral's name for it is "partial 16S ribosomal RNA". It matches the Rfam family "Bacterial small subunit ribosomal RNA", at positions 338 to 795 of the family's 1533-position model. The record is from RNAcentral. Lineage: Bacteria; Pseudomonadati; Pseudomonadota; Gammaproteobacteria; Oceanospirillales; Halomonadaceae.
CCUACGGGAGGCAGCAGUGGGGAAUAUUGGACAAUGGGGGCAACCCUGAUCCAGCCAUGCCGCGUGUGUGAAGAAGGCCCUCGGGUUGUAAAGCACUUUCAGUGAGGAAGAACGCCUGGUGGUUAAUACCCAUCAGGAAAGACAUCACUCACAGAAGAAGCACCGGCUAACUCCGUGCCAGCAGCCGCGGUAAUACGGAGGGUGCGAGCGUUAAUCGGAAUUACUGGGCGUAAAGCGCGCGUAGGUGGCUUGAUAAGCCGGUUGUGAAAGCCCCGGGCUCAACCUGGGAACGGCAUCCGGAACUGUCAAUCUAGAGUGCAGGAGAGGAAGGUAGAAUUCCCGGUGUAGCGGUGAAAUGCGUAGAGAUCGGGAGGAAUACCAGUGGCGAAGGCGGCCUUCUGGACUGACACUGACACUGAGGUGCGAAAGCGUGGGUAGCAAACAGGAUUAGAUACCCGUGUAGUC